GACGAACGCUGGCGGCGUGCCUAACACAUGCAAGUCGAACGAGCGAGAGAGAGCUUGCUUUCUCAAGCGAGUGGCGAACGGGUGAGUAACGCGUGAGGAACCUGCCUCAAAGAGGGGGACAACAGUUGGAAACGACUGCUAAUACCGCAUAAGCCCACGACCCGGCAUCGGGUUGAGGGAAAAGGAGCAAUCCGCUUUGAGAUGGCCUCGCGUCCGAUUAGCUAGUUGGUGAGGUAACGGCCCACCAAGGCAACGAUCGGUAGCCGGACUGAGAGGUUGAACGGCCACAUUGGGACUGAGACACGGCCCAG
This 311-nucleotide ribosomal RNA is filed under the name uncultured bacterium. RNAcentral's name for it is "bacterial SSU rRNA". It matches the Rfam family "Bacterial small subunit ribosomal RNA", at positions 28 to 334 of the family's 1533-position model. The record is from RNAcentral.